RNAcentral lists this transfer RNA (67 nucleotides) under Trialeurodes vaporariorum (greenhouse whitefly). Its description in RNAcentral is "tRNA-Arg". Lineage: Eukaryota; Metazoa; Arthropoda; Insecta; Hemiptera; Aleyrodidae. The record is from RNAcentral.
UUAUAUAGAAGUAAAAUUCUUUACAUUUAAUUUCGACUUAAUAAUAAAGGUAUUUCCUUCAUAUAAA